RNAcentral lists this ribosomal RNA (490 nucleotides) under uncultured bacterium. RNAcentral's name for it is "partial 16S ribosomal RNA". It matches the Rfam family "Bacterial small subunit ribosomal RNA", at positions 30 to 507 of the family's 1533-position model. The record is from RNAcentral.
AUUGAACGCUGGCGGCAUGCCUUACACAUGCAAGUCGAACGGCAGCAUGAUCUAGCUUGCUAGAUUGAUGGCGAGUGGCAAACGGGUGAGUAAUACAUCGGAACGUGCCCUGUAGUGGGGGAUAACUAGUCGAAAGAUUAGCUAAUACCGCAUACAACCUGAGGGUGAAAGUGGGGGACCGCAAGGCCUCAUGCUAUAGGAGCGGCCGAUGUCUGAUUAGCUAGUUGGUGAGGUAAAGGCUCACCAAGGCGACGAUCAGUAGCUGGUCUGAGAGGACGAUCAGCCACACUGGGACUGAGACACGGCCCAGACUCCUACGGGAGGCAGCAGUGGGGAAUUUUGGACAAUGGGCGAAAGCCUGAUCCAGCAAUGCCGCGUGUGUGAAGAAGGCCUUCGGGUUGUAAAGCACUUUUGUCCGGAAAGAAAUGGCUCUGGUUAAUACCUGGGGUCGAUGACGGUACCGGAAGAAUAAGGACCGGCUAACUACGUG